UACGUAGGGGGCAAGCGUUGUCCGGAUUUAUUGGGCGUAAAGAGCGUGUAGGCGGUUUGGUAGGUCCGCUGUGAAAACUCGAGGCUCAACCUCGAGACGCCGGUGGAAACCAUCAGGCUAGAGUCCGGAAGAGGAGAGUGGAAUUCCUGGUGUAGCGGUGAAAUGCGCAGAUAUCAGGAAGAACACCAAUGGCGAAGGCAGCUCUCUGGGACGGUACUGACACUGAGACGCGAAAGCGUGGGGAGCGAACAGG
RNAcentral lists this ribosomal RNA (253 nucleotides) under uncultured bacterium. RNAcentral's name for it is "partial 16S ribosomal RNA". It matches the Rfam family "Bacterial small subunit ribosomal RNA", at positions 524 to 776 of the family's 1533-position model. The record is from RNAcentral.